GUGUCAGCCGCCGCGGUAAUACGUAGGUGGCAAGCGUUGUCCGGAUUUACUGGGUGUAAAGGGCGUGUAGGCGGGGAUGCAAGUCAGAUGUGAAAUUCCGGGGCUCAACCCCGGCGCUGCAUCUGAAACUGUAUCUCUUGAGUGCUGGAGAGGAAAGCGGAAUUCCUAGUGUAGCGGUGAAAUGCGUAGAUAUUAGGAGGAACACCAGUGGCGAAGGCGGCUUUCUGGACAGUAACUGACGCUGAGGCGCGAAAGCGUGGGGAGCAAACAGGAUUAGAUACCCUCGUAGUCC
RNAcentral lists this ribosomal RNA (292 nucleotides) under uncultured bacterium. Its description in RNAcentral is "partial 16S ribosomal RNA". It matches the Rfam family "Bacterial small subunit ribosomal RNA", at positions 505 to 796 of the family's 1533-position model. The record is from RNAcentral.